GAUGAACGCUGGCGGCGUGCCUAAUACAUGCAAGUCGAGCGAACAGACGAGGAGCUUGCUCCUCUGACGUUAGCGGCGGACGGGUGAAUAACACGUGGAUAACCUACCUAUAAGACUGGGAUAACUUCGGGAAACCGGAGCUAAUACCGUAUAACAUGUUGAACCGCAUGGUUCAACAGUGAAAGACGGUCUUGCUGUCACUUAUAGAUGGAUCCGCGCCGCAUUAGCUAGUUGGUAAGGUAACGGCUUACCAAGGCAACGAUGCGUAGCCGACCUGAGAGGGUGAUCGGCCACACUGGAACUGAGACACGGUCCAGACUCCUACGGGAGGCAGCAGUAGGGAAUCUUCCGCAAUGGGCGAAAGCCUGACGGAGCAACGCCGCGUGAGUGAAGAAGGUCUUCGGAUCGUAAAACUCUGUUAUUAGGGAAGAACAAAUGUGUAAGUAACUAUGCACGUCUUGACGGUACCUAAUCAGAAAGCCACGGCUAACUACGUG
This 497-nucleotide ribosomal RNA is filed under the name uncultured bacterium. RNAcentral describes it as "partial 16S ribosomal RNA". It matches the Rfam family "Bacterial small subunit ribosomal RNA", at positions 28 to 507 of the family's 1533-position model. The record is from RNAcentral.